CGAAGCAUGAGCUGUGAUGGGGAAGGAAAUUAAGUACGGAAGUUCCUGAUUUCACGCUGUCAAGAAAAGCCUCUAGGAAGAGUAGUACUGCCCGUACCGCAAACCGACACAGGGAGAUGAGGAGAGAAUCCUAAGGUGAGCGAGAGAACUCUCGUUAAGGAACUCGGCAAAAUGACCCCGUAACUUCGGGGGAGAAGGGGUGCUCUAUUAGGGUGCAAGCCCGAGAGAGCCGCAGUGAAUAGG
RNAcentral lists this ribosomal RNA (243 nucleotides) under Listeria monocytogenes. Its description in RNAcentral is "partial 23S ribosomal RNA". It matches the Rfam family "Bacterial large subunit ribosomal RNA", at positions 1550 to 1790 of the family's 2925-position model. Lineage: Bacteria; Bacillati; Bacillota; Bacilli; Caryophanales; Listeriaceae. The record is from RNAcentral.